GACGAACGCUGGCGGCGUGCCUAAUACAUGCAAGUCGAGCGCUGACGGGUGGUUCGUGUUCCCACCGGAUGAGCAGCGAACGGGUGAGUAACGCGUGGGUAAUCUGCCUUUGAGCGGGGGACAACAUUUGGAAACGAAUGCUAAUACCGCAUAAAAACUUUAAACACAAGUUUUAAGUUUGAAAGAUGCAAUUGCAUCACUCAAAGAUGAUCCCCCGUUGGAUUAGCUAGUUGGUGAGGUAAAGGCCUACCAAGGCGAGGAUACAUAGCCGACCUGAGAGGGUGAUCGGCCACAUUGGGACUGAGACACGGCCCAAACUCCUACGGGAGGCAGCAGUAGGGAAUCUUCGGCAAUGGACGAAAGUCUGACCGAGCAACGCCGCGUGAGUGAUGAAGGUUUUCGGAUCGUAAAACUCUGUUGGUAGGGAAGAACGUGAGUGAGAGUAGAAAGCUCAUCAAGUAAGGGAAACGAACAAGAAGGGGAGGGUUAACUACGU
This 496-nucleotide ribosomal RNA is filed under the name uncultured bacterium. Its description in RNAcentral is "partial 16S ribosomal RNA". It matches the Rfam family "Bacterial small subunit ribosomal RNA", at positions 28 to 506 of the family's 1533-position model. The record is from RNAcentral.